UAAGCGCAUUCCGAAAAGCAUGUAGAGUAGGAG
RNAcentral lists this non-coding RNA (33 nucleotides) under Chryseobacterium gleum ATCC 35910. Lineage: Bacteria; Pseudomonadati; Bacteroidota; Flavobacteriia; Flavobacteriales; Weeksellaceae. The record is from RNAcentral.